GGGUUGUUGCUGGUUCUCCAGGGAGCAUGUGCACACCUUGUCAUCUUUAUAUCUCCACCUGUGCACUUUUUGUAGACCUUUUCAGGUCUAUGUUGCUUCAUUUUACCCCAAUGUAUGUUAAUAGAAUGUUGUACCUAUAUAAUAUAUACAACUUUCAGCAACGGAUCUCUUGGCUCUCGCAUCGAUGAAGAACGCAGCGAAAUGCGAUAAGUAAUGUGAAUUGCAGAAUUCAGUGAAUCAUCGAAUCUUUGAACGCACCUUGCGCUCCUUGGUAUUCCGAGGAGCAUGCCUGUUUGAGUGUCAUUAAUAUAUAUCAACCCUCUCUCUUGUAGCGAGUGGUUUGGAUGUGGGGGUUUUGCUGGCCUCUUUGAAAAAAGGGCUCAGCUCUCCUGAAAUGCAUUAGCAGAACAAACCUGUUCAUUGGUGUGAUAACUAUCUGCGCCAUUGAAUGUGAGGGGCAGUUCAGCUUUCUAACAGUCCUUCGUUGGACAAUUCAUCAUUAAUGUGACCUCAAAUCAGGUAGGACUACCCGCUGAACUUAAGCAUAUCAAUAAGCGGAGGAAAAGAAACUAACAAGGAUUCCCCUAGUAACUGCGAGUGAAGCGGGAAAAGCUCAAAUUUAAAAUCUGGCGGUCUUUUGGCUGUCCGAGUUGUAAUCUAGAGAAGUGUUAUCCGCGCUGGACCGUGUACAAGUCUCCUGGAAUGGAGCAUCAUAAGAGGGUGAGAAUCCCGUCUUUG
Molecule: ribosomal RNA, 738 nt
Filed under: uncultured Cortinarius
Lineage: Eukaryota; Fungi; Basidiomycota; Agaricomycetes; Agaricales; Cortinariaceae
Description: eukaryotic LSU rRNA
Rfam family: Eukaryotic large subunit ribosomal RNA (bases 506-738)
Source: RNAcentral